Oncorhynchus gorbuscha (pink salmon) is the source of this 521-nucleotide long non-coding RNA. RefSeq lists it as uncharacterized. Lineage: Eukaryota; Metazoa; Chordata; Actinopteri; Salmoniformes; Salmonidae. The transcript has 2 exons. The record is from RefSeq and is a predicted model, not a curated record.
CGGCGGUCGACGUCACCGGCGGUCGACGUCACCGGCGGUCGACGUCACCGGUGGUCGACGUCACCGGCUUUCUAGCCAUCGCCGCUCCAUUUUUCUAUUAUCCAUUUGUUUUGUCUUGUUCCAUUCACACCUGGUUUGCAUUCCCCAAUCACACUAGAUGUAUUUAUUCCUCUGUUCCCCCUCAUGUCUUUGUGUGAAAUGAUUUGUGUGUUACGUGUUGUACGCACUAGGCAGAGCUCCGUAAUCUGGACAGAGUCAGAGAGGUACAGGACUUCAGUCAUCCUCGUGGUUAGAACCGGGAAAAACUAGGAAACAGAACUUGUGAAACAGGAAGACGGGAAAGCACGCUGUUGUGUUUCCUAGUUUUUUCCGGUUCUGACCAUUCUGCCUGCCCUGACCAUGAGCCUGCCCUGACCCCGUACCUGCCUGCCGUUCUGUACCUGUCUGACUCUGACCUGAUUACAAAUCUCUGCUUGCCCUCGGCCUGCCCCGUGUUUACAAUAAAUAAUCUGAGAACUGUA